Molecule: transfer RNA, 73 nt
Filed under: Mycobacterium rhizamassiliense
Lineage: Bacteria; Bacillati; Actinomycetota; Actinomycetes; Mycobacteriales; Mycobacteriaceae
Description: Mycobacterium sp. AB57 partial tRNA-Lys
Rfam family: tRNA
About the family: Transfer RNA (tRNA) molecules are approximately 80 nucleotides in length. Their secondary structure includes four short double-helical elements and three loops (D, anti-codon, and T loops). Further hydrogen bonds mediate the characteristic L-shaped molecular structure. tRNAs have two regions of fundamental functional importance: the anti-codon, which is responsible for specific mRNA codon recognition, and the 3' end, to which the tRNAs corresponding amino acid is attached (by aminoacyl-tRNA synthetases). tRNAs cope with the degeneracy of the genetic code in two manners: having more than one tRNA (with a specific anti-codon) for a particular amino acid; and 'wobble' base-pairing, i.e. permitting non-standard base-pairing at the 3rd anti-codon position.
Source: RNAcentral
CAAGCGCCGUUAGCUCAGUUGGUAGAGCAGCUGACUCUUAAUCAGCGGGUCCGGGGUUCGAAACCCUGACGGC